This 27-nucleotide small RNA is filed under the name Bombyx mori (domestic silkworm). RNAcentral's name for it is "ovarian small RNA-20560". The record is from RNAcentral. Lineage: Eukaryota; Metazoa; Arthropoda; Insecta; Lepidoptera; Bombycidae.
UACCAGAGUCGUCGCUUGGUCUAGUGC